Molecule: transfer RNA, 74 nt
Filed under: Caudoviricetes sp.
Lineage: Duplodnaviria; Heunggongvirae; Uroviricota; Caudoviricetes
Description: tRNA-Asn
Rfam family: tRNA
About the family: Transfer RNA (tRNA) molecules are approximately 80 nucleotides in length. Their secondary structure includes four short double-helical elements and three loops (D, anti-codon, and T loops). Further hydrogen bonds mediate the characteristic L-shaped molecular structure. tRNAs have two regions of fundamental functional importance: the anti-codon, which is responsible for specific mRNA codon recognition, and the 3' end, to which the tRNAs corresponding amino acid is attached (by aminoacyl-tRNA synthetases). tRNAs cope with the degeneracy of the genetic code in two manners: having more than one tRNA (with a specific anti-codon) for a particular amino acid; and 'wobble' base-pairing, i.e. permitting non-standard base-pairing at the 3rd anti-codon position.
Source: RNAcentral
GGGGAGUUAGCUCAGCUGGUGGUAGCUUCGGACUGUUAAUCCGAUGGUCGUGGGUUCGAGUCCCACACUCCCCU